UCUCCCUUUUCUUGUUUUGUUCAUUAGGAAUUUGUUGAUAUGCCAAUGACAACUUUAACUCUUUCAAUUGGUGCAUGUUCUGUAACUUUUUCUUUGGAUGAAAAUAUCUCAUGUUCACUGGCAACUUAAGGCUUUCUUAAAUAACUAUAGAUUAACUUCAAAAUGGAGAUGUUAGAUAGCUGCUUUUAAGUAGAUGGAUGUUUUUCUUGCAUUUGUGGGUUUGUGCAACUUUGCAAUUUCCAGAUCCAGGAUUGGUAUCAGAGUUAGUUAUGUCUUUGGGAAGAGGAAUUUUUGAGUUAGAAUAUGGCCCUUUUUUUUGUCUGAAGUGCUAACUUUCUCAAAUCAUAGAGUAAGCAUGGGUCUAGGAGUACUUCAUCAAAACACUCAUAGCAGGUUUUUCUUUUCUUACAUGGUUUAAUGAUGCCCUGAAAAUUCUUCCAUGGAUUAAGAGAAAAUCAGGAGCAGUUUCAUAUCUUGGUUUUUAUAGAUCCUACAAUAUGUUUCGUACAAAUAGGCAAUACAAAUACUGAUAACUUGAAUCAUGUAAAUGAUUUCUUCGAUCCCUGAUGCAGUUGCUGCAGUGAAGGCUCUUAAGGGUAUGUGGGAAAACACACCACCUAGCUGGGAAGGUCAAGACCCUUGUGGAGACCAAUGGGAUGGCAUAAAGUGCAUCAAUUCACGU
RNAcentral lists this unclassified non-coding RNA (682 nucleotides) under Hevea brasiliensis (rubber tree). The record is from RNAcentral. Lineage: Eukaryota; Viridiplantae; Streptophyta; Magnoliopsida; Malpighiales; Euphorbiaceae.